CUAUGGCGUGCAUCAGUCGAGAAUUUCUUUGCUGGGACACGGUUGCGCUGAAUCCUCUUUUGUUUUGAUCCAUGCUUUGUCUGCUACUACCAACCUACUUACCUGCCUGCUGCCCGCCUUGCUCUGCUUACCUGCCCUGUUUAUCUAUCGGCUGGAAUCCCGUCUCAUCCACCUCAAAACAGAGCCUCGGCCUGCAGAGCGACCUGAUGUUCUCUGAGAUCGCACGCAGGAUCAGAGACGGCGGUCAGGAGCUGGUGAAGAAGGUCAACGCUGUGUUCGGAUGGAGAUCAGCAAAAACGACAGAACCAUCCGAGAGUGGAGUGAACCAGAAUAUCAUUCAUUUCUCUUAACACAA
This is a long non-coding RNA of Carassius auratus (goldfish), 355 nucleotides long. RefSeq lists it as uncharacterized. The transcript is spliced from 3 exons. NCBI's taxonomy places the organism in Eukaryota, Metazoa, Chordata, Actinopteri, Cypriniformes, Cyprinidae. The record is from RefSeq and is a predicted model, not a curated record.